This 253-nucleotide ribosomal RNA is filed under the name uncultured bacterium. Its description in RNAcentral is "partial 16S ribosomal RNA". It matches the Rfam family "Bacterial small subunit ribosomal RNA", at positions 524 to 776 of the family's 1533-position model. The record is from RNAcentral.
UACAGAGGUCUCAAGCGUUGUUCGGAUUCAUUGGGCGUAAAGGGUGCGUAGGUGGCGCCGUAAGUCGGGUGUGAAAUUUCGGAGCUUAACUCCGAAACUGCAUUCGAUACUGCGGUGCUUGAGGACUGGAGAGGAGACUGGAAUUCAUGGUGUAGCAGUGAAAUGCGUAGAGAUCAUGAGGAAGACCAGUGGCGAAGGCGGGUCUCUGGACAGUUCCUGACACUGAGACACGAAGGCCAGGGGAGCAAACGGG